RNAcentral lists this transfer RNA (71 nucleotides) under Camelus bactrianus (Bactrian camel). It matches the Rfam family "tRNA". Rfam says of the family: Transfer RNA (tRNA) molecules are approximately 80 nucleotides in length. Their secondary structure includes four short double-helical elements and three loops (D, anti-codon, and T loops). Further hydrogen bonds mediate the characteristic L-shaped molecular structure. tRNAs have two regions of fundamental functional importance: the anti-codon, which is responsible for specific mRNA codon recognition, and the 3' end, to which the tRNAs corresponding amino acid is attached (by aminoacyl-tRNA synthetases). tRNAs cope with the degeneracy of the genetic code in two manners: having more than one tRNA (with a specific anti-codon) for a particular amino acid; and 'wobble' base-pairing, i.e. permitting non-standard base-pairing at the 3rd anti-codon position. Lineage: Eukaryota; Metazoa; Chordata; Mammalia; Artiodactyla; Camelidae. RNAcentral also lists the same sequence under 2 other names. The record is from Rfam by way of RNAcentral.
GGGGGUAUAGCUUAGUGAUAGAGUGUGUCUUUGGUAUGUAUACGUCCUGGGUUCAAUCCCCAGUGCAUCUG